CUCCGGGUUGAUCCCGCCGGACCCGACUGCUAUCAGAGUGGGACUAAGCCAUGCGAGUCGACGUAGCAAUGCGUGGCGAACGGCUCAGUAACACGUAGUCAACAUGCCCAGGGGACGUGGAUAACCUCGGGAAACUGAGAAUAAACCACGAUAGGUCACGAUUUCUGGAAUGGAUCAUGGCCUAAAUCUACAUGGCCCCUGGAUUGGACUGCGGCCGAUCAGGCUGUUGGUGAGGUAAUGGCCCACCAAACCUAUAACCGGUACGGGCUCUGAGAGGAGAAGCCCGGAGAUGGGCACUGAGACAAGGGCCCAGGCCCUAUGGGGCGCAGCAGGCGCGAAACCUCUGCAAUAGGCGAAAGCCUGACAGGGUUACUCUGAGUGAUUUCCGCUAAGGGGAUCUUUUGGCACCUCUAAAAAUGGUGCAGAAUAAGGGGUGGGCAAGUCUGGUGUCAGCCGCCGCGGUAAUACCAGCACCCCGAGUGGUCGGGACGAUUAUUGGGCCUAAAGCAUCCGUAGCCGGUUCUACAAGUCUUCCGUUAAAUCCAGCCGCUCAACGGAUGGGCCGCGGAGGAUACUACAGGACUAGGAGGCGGGAGAGGCAAGCGGUACUCAGUGGGUAGGGGUAAAAUCCUUUGAUCCAUUGAAGACCACCAGUGGCGAAGGCGGCUUGCCAGAACGCGCUCGACGGUGAGGGAUGAAAGCUGGGGGAGCAAACCGGAUUAGAUACCCGGGUAGUCCCAGCUGUAAACGAUGCAGACUCGGUGAUGGGCUAGCCUUGUGCCAGCCCAGUGCCGCAGGGAAGCCGUUAAGUCUGCCGCCUGGGGAGUACGGUCGCAAGACUGAAACUUAAAGGAAUUGGCGGGGGAGCA
Molecule: ribosomal RNA, 869 nt
Filed under: uncultured archaeon
Lineage: Archaea
Description: bacterial SSU rRNA
Rfam family: Archaeal small subunit ribosomal RNA
Source: RNAcentral